Molecule: ribosomal RNA, 422 nt
Filed under: uncultured cyanobacterium
Lineage: Bacteria; Bacillati; Cyanobacteriota
Description: bacterial SSU rRNA
Rfam family: Bacterial small subunit ribosomal RNA
Source: RNAcentral
GAAUUUUCCGCAAUGGGCGAAAGCCUGACGGAGCAACGCCGCGUGAGGGAAGAAGGCCUCUGGGCUGUAAACCUCUUUUCUCAAGGAAGAAGAUCUGACGGUACUUGAGGAAUAAGCCACGGCUAAUUCCGUGCCAGCAGCCGCGGUAAUACGGGAGUGGCAAGCGUUAUCCGGAAUUAUUGGGCGUAAAGCGUCCGCAGGCGGCCUUUCAAGUCUGCUGUUAAAGCGUGGAGCUUAACUCCAUUAAGGCAGUGGAAACUGUUGGGCUUGAGUGUGGUAGGGGCAGAGGGGAAUUCCCGGUGUAGCGGUGAAAUGCGUAGAUAUCGGGAAGAACACCAGUGGCGAAGGCGCUCUGCUGGGCCAUAACUGACGCUCAUGGACGAAAGCCAGGGGAGCGAAAGGGAUUAGAUACCCCUGUAGUC